UCUUCGUCGCAAGCCCGCGGUGCAGGGAAGCCGGUGUGAAUCCGGCGCGGUCCCGCCACUGUGACCGGGAAGUGUGCUCUUCAGCAGGACAGGCCACUGGCGGAAACCAUCCGCCGGGAAGGCCGGAGAGCGCGCGAUGAUCCGGGAGUCAGGAUACCGGCCGUGGGGUGUUCCGUGUU
Molecule: non-coding RNA, 179 nt
Filed under: Streptomyces sp.
Lineage: Bacteria; Bacillati; Actinomycetota; Actinomycetes; Kitasatosporales; Streptomycetaceae
Source: RNAcentral